AAGGGAUUUGGUUGUAGCUGGUUCAUUAAUUUGAUGCUGUGCACACCUUCUCUCUUUCAUCCACACACACCUGUGCACCUGCUGCGCAGAUGGGGAAUUUAUUGAUUGUUCUCUAAGAACAAUUGGUGUUGGACCCUCUGUCUACUCAAUACAUAUAAACUCAAUUUAUUUAGAAAUGAAUGUAUUGGAUGUAACGCAUCUAAUACUAAGUUUCAACAACGGAUCUCUUGGCUCUCGCAUCGAUGAAGAACGCAGCGAAAUGCGAUAAGUAAUGUGAAUUGCAGAAUUCAGUGAAUCAUCGAAUCUUUGAACGCAAUGCGCUCGUAGAUGCUCGUAGGAUCGCUAGCCUGUUUGAGUAUCAUGAAAUCUUAUGCUCGCAAUCUUUUGUUAACUCAAUUGGUUUUGCCUUGGUCUUGGAGGUCUUUGCAGCUUCACACCUGCUCCUCUUUGUGUAUUAGCUGGAUCUCAGUGUUAUGCUUGGUUCCACUAGGCGUGAUAGGCUCGCUGAGAUGCUCGCUGAUAGUGCAGGUGGCCAAGGGAAAUGCAGAUGAACCGCUCCUAAUAGUCCAUUGACUUGGACACUAUUUCUUAUGAUCUGAUCUCAAAUCAGGUAGGACUACCCGCUGAACUAUGGCUCGCUGAUAGAGAUUGCGCGCCUGU
This 660-nucleotide ribosomal RNA is filed under the name uncultured fungus. Its description in RNAcentral is "eukaryotic LSU rRNA". The stretch from base 208 to 361 matches the Rfam family "5.8S ribosomal RNA". The record is from RNAcentral. Lineage: Eukaryota; Fungi.